RNAcentral lists this ribosomal RNA (254 nucleotides) under uncultured bacterium. Its description in RNAcentral is "partial 16S ribosomal RNA". It matches the Rfam family "Bacterial small subunit ribosomal RNA", at positions 524 to 776 of the family's 1533-position model. The record is from RNAcentral.
UACGUAGGGAGCGAGCGUUGUCCGGAUUCAUUGGGCGUAAAGAGCUCGUAGGCGGCUUGGUAAGUCGGAUGUGAAACCUCCAGGCUCAACCUGGAGUCGCCAUCCGAUACUGCCAUGGCUAGAGUCCGGUAGGGGCCCACGGAAUUCCUGGUGUAGCGGUGAAAUGCGCAGAUAUCAGGAGGAACACCUGUGGCGAAGGCGGUGGCCUGGACCGGUGCUGACGCUGAGGCGCGAAGGCGUGGGGAGCGAUCCGG